This 443-nucleotide ribosomal RNA is filed under the name uncultured bacterium. RNAcentral's name for it is "partial 16S ribosomal RNA". It matches the Rfam family "Bacterial small subunit ribosomal RNA", at positions 338 to 795 of the family's 1533-position model. The record is from RNAcentral.
CCUACGGGAGACUGCAGUGGGGAAUAUUGGGCAAUGGGCGCAAGCCUGACCCAGCAACGCCGCGUGAAGGAAGAAGGCUCUCGGGUUGUAAACUUCUUUUAUCAGGGACGAAGCAAGUGACGGUACCUGAUGAAUAAGCCACGGCUAACUACGUGCCAGCAGCCGCGGUAAUACGUAGGUGGCAAGCGUUAUCCGGAUUUAUUGGGUGUAAAGGGCGUGUAGGCGGGAAAGCAAGUCAGAUGUGAAAACUCAGGGCUCAACCCUGAGCCUGCAUUUGAAACUGUCUUUCUUGAGUGCUGGAGAGGCAAUCGGAAUUCCGUGUGUAGCGGUGAAAUGCGUAGAUAUACGGAGGAACACCAGUGGCGAAGGCGGAUUGCUGGACAGUAACUGACGCUGAGGCGCGAAAGCGUGGGGAGCAAACAGGAUUAGAUACCCCUGUAGUC